AGCAGCCGCGGUAAUUCCAGCUCCAAUAGCGUAUAUUAAAGUUGUUGCAGUUAAAAAGCUCGUAGUUGAAUUUCGGGGUCAGCAAGUUGGUCGUGCCACUGGUAUGUACUGGCUUUGCUGAUUCCUCCUUCUUGUAGAACCGUAAUGCCAUUAAUUUGGUGUUGCGGGGAAACAGGACUGUUACUUUGAAAAAUUAGAGUGUUUAAAGCAGGCUAACGCUUGAAUACAUUAGCAUGGAAUAAUGAAAUAGGACGAGCGAUCCUAUUUUGUUGGUUUCUAGGAUUGACGUAAUGAUUAAUAGGGAUAGUUGGGGGCAUUAGUAUUCAAUUGUCAGAGGUGAAAUUCUUGGAUUUAUUGAAGACUAACUACUGCGAAAGCAUUUGCCAAGGAUGUUUUCAUUAAUCAAGAACGAAAGUUAGGGGAUCGAAGACGAUCAGAUACCGUCGUAGU
RNAcentral lists this ribosomal RNA (450 nucleotides) under uncultured Glomus. Its description in RNAcentral is "SSU rRNA". It matches the Rfam family "Eukaryotic small subunit ribosomal RNA", at positions 569 to 1024 of the family's 1831-position model. The record is from RNAcentral. Lineage: Eukaryota; Fungi; Glomeromycota; Glomeromycetes; Glomerales; Glomeraceae.